RNAcentral lists this ribosomal RNA (253 nucleotides) under uncultured bacterium. RNAcentral's name for it is "partial 16S ribosomal RNA". It matches the Rfam family "Bacterial small subunit ribosomal RNA", at positions 524 to 776 of the family's 1533-position model. The record is from RNAcentral.
UACGUAGGGUGCAAGCGUUGUCCGGAAUUAUUGGGCGUAAAGAGCUCGUAGGCGGCCAGGUAGGUCUGCUGUGAAAACUCGAGGCUCAACCUCGAGACGUCGGCGGAAACCAUCUGGCUAGAGUCCGGAAGAGGAGAGUGGAAUUCCUGGUGUAGCGGUGAAAUGCGCAGAUAUCAGGAAGAACACCCGUGGCGAAGGCGGCUCUCUGGGACGGUACUGACGCUGAGACGCGAAAGCGUGGGGAGCGAACAGG